This 4876-nucleotide long non-coding RNA is filed under the name Homo sapiens (human). RNAcentral's name for it is "HSALNT0300554". Lineage: Eukaryota; Metazoa; Chordata; Mammalia; Primates; Hominidae. The record is from RNAcentral.
AGCAUUUGGUGGUGUUCAGAGGAGGAGAGAAAGAGAUGAAGAGGAGUGAGCCAGGUUUCAGGAGGGGGCACGCAGGAGACCAGCCCUGGAUUCAGACUUGAGCCUGGUCCACACCAGAGGCCGAUAGAAGGCUUGGAUUACAGCAGGGGCAGGUUCUUUCACGAAAUCAAAUUUCUCCACUGAUUUCUGAAUUCAUAGCAAGCUAACUAGAAGAGAUUUUUAAUUCAGAAUGCUGCACUCCAAAAAACUGAGAAAGACAUUGAGGGAGGGAAUAUGGAAAUUUGAUGGUAUCUCGGCUAAGUUUGAUAUUGAGAUUUUUGUAAUAAAUGUUGUUGAAUAAAAAAGGCAUCAAGAUGCCUAAAUCAGAGAGAUAAAAUGAAGAAUAAUUACAGUAUACAAUUUUUGAAUUAUUGUCCAAUCAACUAAAAUUAGAAGUUUUUAACAUGCUAAAAUGGAAAGUUAUUCAACAGAAUGGAAUCCUUUAAAAUAUGAUGGAACUGCCACUUAAGCAUCAGAAGUCUGCUCAGGUGUGACCCUGGGAGCCCAAACUUUUCACGGAACAGCAAGGAACAUCCCUGUGCUCCUCCUUCCCAGUCUCUUUUUUUUUCAGAGGGAGUCUCGCUCUGUUGCCCAGGCUGGAGUGCAGUGGCGAGAUCUCAGCUCACUGCAAGCUCCGUCUCCCGGGUUCACGCCAUUCUCCUGCCUCAGCCUGCCGAGUAGCUGGGACAACAGGCGCCAGCCACCAUGCCCAGGCAUACAAAACCUGCCUUGCCUCUCCCCAGUUUGAACAGUGCUUUUGAACUUUGAUGGAAAAGCCACAUUUGGAAGGUCAUACCACCCUUGACAAACUGCAGUCCCUACUGGCCAUUACACUGCAGAGCCGUGACAAUGAUGGAUCUCCUGUUUGGAAGAGAAUGACCCAGGACAAAAGGGGUGACCAAACCAUGGUCUAAGUGUGAUAUCUGAAGCUGCUUAAUCUGCAAAAGGAAACCCAGUGUGAGGAAUGGGAGAUGGAGAUGUGGAGGCCUAGUGUCUAAGGGCUGGCAUUCAGGGGAAGAAUUACAUUUGUCUGUAAUCUCAAAGGCUAGGAAGGAUGGAGCUGGGUGGAUUUGGGAUCACCAUGAAAAGGACCUAUGAGUAAGUCAGGCCUGCGUAGAGGUGAUCUGGAAGCCCCCAGCUGCACCCUCAAUUGGAAAGGGGCUGUGGAGGGGUCUUGAACAUGACUUAGCAAAUGGAGCUAGAUUCCUUCAAUGCUCCAUCCAGCCAUAAAUCAAUGAAAUAGCUCCCUCCUUCUUUUUCUCUGCCUUCCAAACUGAACUACUGUAUCUCUUGCAAAACCAAUUGGAUAAUUCUGUGUUAAGCUUCCUGUCUCCCACCCUGAGCAACCACAGAUGAAUGAUGGUUGUUGCAGAGAUGGGCAAGUCUGGCUUCUGAGAGCUGCCAUUGAACUUCUCUGUGCUGAGCUGGCAUUAGCUCCUCUCCUCUCCCCUCCCCACCCUGCUUAGAGAAUCCUCUCCACAUUUGGAGGUUUGUGUCACCCUUCUACGUGACCAGGGCUUCUGUCCCAUGAGAAGAGAAGGGACAGGAGGACUCUGUCUGAAAGUUCUGAGUUGUAGAUUUGCCCAUGGGCCAGACAUCAGGCUCUGUCCAUGAGGUGACCCAAGUCACCAGAGGAAAAGUGUCUGUCCCCAAUCUCCACAUUAAAUUUGCCUUGGGCCUCAACCAAACUCAAUGUUUUUUCCUCCUAGAACAGUGAGGAUAGAGACCCAGUUAAAAAAAAAUCCCACAAGUCUUUCUGGAGUCUGGGGUGUGCUGGACAGGGUGUGAGGAACUGGGGACCUGGGUUCUGGUUAGUUCUCUGUCCCUUACUAUGAGACCCUGCACAAGUCACCUGGGGAACUCGGUCCUUACACUGGACAGUGACACAAUGGGAAACAGAGGACCACCAGGACACAUUUUAGCCAUGGCCUAUAAUUAACAUCUCUAUGAUGUGACUUCACAGGCACAGAUCAUCUUGCAUCCUCACCCCUGACACACACACACACACACACACACACACACACACACACACACACACGCAUGCAGUACAGUAACUGUCAAUCUCAGGUCCAAGAUACCCCAGCGCAUCUCUAUUCAUCUCAAGGGAUAUUGAUAUCAUUUCAUAAGAAGGAAUUAAUGCGAAUUCACCUGAUUUUAAAAUAGGUAACAUCCCGCCCAAUAUUUUCUCCUCUCCCUCCCCUGGGGACGUGGAAGUGAAGAUUCAGGCACAGCUAACCCAAUUGGAGGGAGUUCUAAGCAGAGUACAGCACAGUCUAGAUAAGGAAUCAGUUGGGAGUUUCUGGAAUCUCAAAUGGAAGAGAGGGAGGCAGUCAGAGAGCAGGGCGUGGGCAGACAAGGACUCGCCCUGUCCUAACAUUACUCAGUCUGAAUUCUCUUCUCUCGCACCUUGCUUCAUAUGCCUAACCUGACACCGUACAUCUGCUUGGUCUUUGCUCAACUCAGCUGCAGCAUCCUCGGGAGACAGCUGGAUCAGCCAGAGAGCUUCAGAAAGACACACAUCACUCUGCCAGACACACACACUGCUCCAGCUCCAGCAUCCAACAUCUGACCACAUGUCGGCAGCCACUGCUGACCUGGCUCCACCAUUUCUCCCCAGGUCUAAGCUUAAGCCGCACUGCAUUGCUUCCAUUUCUUCAUGCUUGCUCUGUUCCCUUCUACCACAGGGGCUUUGUGCAAGCUCAGCCUCAACAUGGAUCUUCCCCCUUCUUCACCUGGUCAACAGCCACUCAUUCUUCAACCUUAGUUCGAGCAUCAUCAACCUCCCCCGCUAUGUCAGUUCUCCCUGUUAGACACCCUGGCUGUUCCACAUAUCUUUUAUUCAAAGUAGUUACAUAUUAAAGCAUUCCAUUUGUGCAUACAAUUAUUGUAGAAUUACUUCCCAGCAGACAGAUGCUAUAGGAGGGAAGAGACCUUUUCUGCUUAAGUAUCUAGUGCAGUGCCUGGCCCUUAAUAGGUGCUCAACAAAAAUUUUUAAAUGAAUGCUUAAAUACCAUAUCAUGGGUCAUGUCUGGUUGCAAAAAGAUAUUCAUCAUAAUAAAAAUAAUAAACUAUAAUUAAAAUAUACUCAUCAUCAUAAAAAUAAAUGAACUAGGCAGAUACUGGUGUUAAAGGUAUCACUGCCUUUAUUGUGGGCCAUUUUAGGAUGCAAGGCACAGUAGGGGUAAACAAUUAAGAGAGACUUCUGUAGUCUAGGAAUACAAGAGCUAGUAAAUAUAUAAUGUCUCCAGCAAGAGAAAGGAGGACAAGCAAGUCGGAGCAAGCUGCCCACUGGGGUGGGAGAAGGGAAUGAUAAAAGGGAGGAUUGGAAAUAUACACCAAAAUGCACCAUUCAUACAACGUUUCUAUUCACAACUCAGAAUUCACUGAACAAAAAAUGACCAUUCUGUAUACGAUUCCAAUUAAAUGCAUUAUUGUUGUAUCUGAUUGUGCUAGUGCCUGUCGCUAAUCCAUGCCACAAUGAUUCAUGCUUUAAAAAAAAAAAAAAAAAAAGAAGCAAUUGGUUAUAACAGCCACCACAGUGCAUUUCUAGAUAAGAGCUCAGUGACUGUUAAGGGGCACCUGCGUAAGAGCUCCAUUAACAAUGCUAGGCAAGGAAGAAAACCCCAGGGCAGAUGCCAGACGGAGCAAGAGACAAACAUGCAUUUAUUUUCCGUUUACUCCAGAUAACUCAUUAAAUUUCAAGGAAACUUCAGAAUUUAAAACUCACAGCAAUGUAAAGAACAGGAGGGGCAUCUUCAAUGGAGAAGAUACUUCAUCAAAUUUGGAAAGUGAAAGCAAAGGGAAAGUCUGACUAAAAUAACAUAGAGCAAGCUAUACCCUGGACUUCCUGCAAAGGGGGCUUCAGUGAGGGAGGGGCCCAUCUGCCUACAGAACUCAAGCAGGCACUGGCCUCAGGAGCCCCAGAUAACAGCCAGCUCCUGGACUUUUUAUUCCAGAAUGAACUCUACCAGUUGGAUCUUCCAGGCAAGCUUUUUAUCCUGUUCAUGCUAAAUAAAAACAACCACAAAGUGCCAGGCAUUUGAGGAAACCCUGCAAUGUGAAAGAGGAAAAAUAACAAACAGGGGAAACAAUUCCAGAAUAAAUAAAAAUAAUGAAGGGAAUAGAAGAGAAAUUACUAGGAAAAAAAAUUCCCAGAUCAGAAGCUCAGAUUUGGGUUGCUAUUUCAUUCAUAAAACAAAAACAGAAUAAUGCUGUAAAGAAGAAAUAAUUAGAGAACAAAAAAAGAAGUUUGAAAAGUAAACAAUUUGGAUUAUGAAAAUAAUAACAAUAGAAAGUGAAAUUUAUAAAAUCUGCCAAAUCACAGACCAAAAAAGUCGGGCAAUAGAAGAUAAAAGAGAUAGAGAACCACUCCUUGCGUCCUUAGCCACCACCCUUUGCUUGUUUUUCCAUUUUCCUUUCAUCUCUCGGAAUAUCUCAUCAGCUGAUAUCUAUUAGAGGAGAAGGGAAUUGUCCCCCAAGAGACUAAGUUCUGAGCAGAUGAAUGAAAAACGGCUACCUCAAGGCACAUCAGUGUGAAGUUUCAGAACACAAAGAGUUAGCAGAAGAUCCUAAAAGCUUCCAGUAGGAAAAAAUAAGAUAAAAGCUCACCUACAAAGAAACCAAAGCCAGACAGGCGUAGAAGGAACAUUUGCUGCUAGAAGGUAAUGGAACAAUGUGUACAAAAUUCUGUGAGAACUGAACAUCAACCUCAAAUUCUAAAUUCAACCCAACUCAAAUGUAAAGCCAAAUUAGAGAUUAAGACAUGCAAGCAUUCAAAGUAUAUCUCCACACACCUGUAAUCCCAGUACUUUGGGAGGCAGAGGCAGGCAGAUCACUU